GAACCCACCGUGAUCCGUCAAUUGUCAAAAUAUAAAUCAAAACAAACGCGAGUGCCGAUGAUAUGUAGCCGGAUGUAAUUUUCCGUCAGUGAAGUUUAAGCUUUUAUUGUUGAACGCGGUUUCAAAUUCUUUUCCGUUGCUCUACAGUUUGUCCCCUGGAUUGUUAGCAAUCACUGGGAUUCGAGUUGAGAUGCCUCGCAGCUACCAAAGGAAAACGAAUCGAGGGAGUUGGUCCCAAGAGAACCUCACCCUUGCAAAAGAGGCUAUUGUUAGUGGAGUUUCUAUCAAACGUGCUUCCACGACUUUCGAACUACUGAUGUAAAUUUAAUGUUGGAUUUAAGCUGUUCGAUAAAAUUAAAUGAAUUAAAUUGAACGAAAAAUAAUGACUGUAUGGUCUUAACGAAAAUAAUAAACUAAUUUCAACUAAACAUAA
Long non-coding RNA from Toxorhynchites rutilus septentrionalis, 433 nucleotides. RefSeq lists it as uncharacterized. Lineage: Eukaryota; Metazoa; Arthropoda; Insecta; Diptera; Culicidae. The record is from RefSeq and is a predicted model, not a curated record. The transcript has 2 exons.